AGAAUAUAGCUCAGCUGAAAAUCUAAAGCACGCAAUUGGAAUGGAUAAAAAAGGCAAAAGAAAGAACAUGACGAAGAAGCACAAAACAUUGCUUCAACAAACUCACAAGGGGAGUUCUAAUAUUGCAAUACCGAAGUAACUUCCCCGAACGUCUUGUAUCUUCCGAAAGUAUCACAUGAGCAGAUUUUAAAACACGGAGAGCCCAGCGAAGAUGAAAGGGUUCAGUACGCUGCUCAUACACAAAAUUUUCCGCAAUUACAAGAACAAAAGUAGCAAUAAAUUAUUUAUCAAGUUGAGCAAGCACCUCAAGGUGAUAUCUUCAAGGUUCCAAUUGGAGUUCCCACUAAAUAUAAACCAGGCUUUAGAGGACCACGUUUAGGUGACUGUUCGGGGAUUGAAUCUGCGAGCUCGGGAGAAAUUUGAAAGCUAGAACAGAAGGAAAGCGAGGCAAUUCUAGGGUAAAGCAAACAUUGAUUUCAGGGAUAAAAGGUGUGUUUUGAGUCCGGGAGAAGUUGAAAGGUGAGCGAUAUCGUCAUCACAGAUAACCGUCGUAGCAGCAUUUGCUCGGCUUGCAUUGAUGAAACAGGAAACGGGAAAAAAAAUCCGAUAAUUAGGCGGCACAGCAACCACGUAUCUUGUUCGGAGCAAACAGGGAAAGCAGAGGCGGAAAGAGCAUGGAGGGGUUAG
This 687-nucleotide unclassified non-coding RNA is filed under the name Hevea brasiliensis (rubber tree). The record is from RNAcentral. Lineage: Eukaryota; Viridiplantae; Streptophyta; Magnoliopsida; Malpighiales; Euphorbiaceae.